RNAcentral lists this ribosomal RNA (1703 nucleotides) under Pseudaphelenchus sp. XW-2016. RNAcentral's name for it is "SSU rRNA". It matches the Rfam family "Eukaryotic small subunit ribosomal RNA". The record is from RNAcentral. Lineage: Eukaryota; Metazoa; Nematoda; Chromadorea; Rhabditida; Aphelenchoididae.
CUCAAAGAUUAAGCCAUGCAUGUGUAGUGGAAAGGAUAAAGUGGAAACUGCGUACAGCUCAUUACAACAGAGAUAAUUUAUAACGUUAGUACUUUUUAUACGGAUAUGAACGGUAAUUCUGAAACCAAUACGUGAUCGAUGGGUUUGCUUCGGCAUUCCUUGGGAGCUCAGUUCAAAUCUUUUCAACACACUGAACUAUGAGCUAAUACCGUUAUCGUAUGCCCUUGUGGUGAUGAAAAACGUUUGUAAAUCUCUGCCCUAUUAACCUCAUGGGAAUGUAGUGUACUCCCAAGGUUGUUAUGGGUAACGGAGUAUUAGGGUUCGACUCCGGAGAAGGCGCCUGAGAAAUGGCGACUAGUUCCACGGAAUGCAGCAGGCGCGAAACUUACCCAAUAUCAGUUCGAUGAGGUAGUGAAGAAACAUAGCGAGACUGACCUCUCUGAGGGCGGUCAUUGCAAUGGUUUUAAUCCAAACUCUUUUUAGAGUAACAACGAGUGGGCAAGUCUGGUGCCAGCAGCCGCGGUAAUUCCAGCACUCGUAAUGUAUAGAUAUAUUGUUGCGAUUAAAAAGCUCGUAGUUGGAUUGUCACAUGGGCGUCUGGUUUCGGGCUUCGGUUCGUUACUUGGCCUGUGUUCUGUGUCGGGGGCUCGGGCUUCGGUUCGCAGUUCUUGAUACUGGAUUACUUUGAAUGUCUUAGGUGCUCAAUGCGAGGCUUAAGCUUGAAUUGCAUUACAUGGAAUAAUGGAACAAGGUUUCGACUGAGUUUCUUGGUCUAUUGGUUGAAGCAAUGAUUAGUAGGAUCAUUCGGGGGUGAACGUAUCGCUGCUCGAGGAGUGAAAUCUGUGGACAGUGGCGAGACGACCGAAAGCGAAGGCAUUCACCAAGGAUGUUUUCAUUAAUCAAGAGCGAAAGUCAGAGGUUCGGAGGCGAUUAGAUACCGCCCUAGUUCUGACCGUAAACGAUACCAACUAUCGAUCUGCGUGUGGAUUCUAUUCACUGCGUGGGGUGGCUCCCGGAAACGAAAGUGUUUCGGUUCCGGGGGUAGUAUGGUUGCAAAGCUGAAACUUAAAGGAAUUGACGGAAGGGCACCACCAGGAGUGGAGCUUGCGGCUUAAUUUGACUCAACACGGGAAAUCUCACCUGGGUAGUAUAUUAUUUGGAUUGACAGACUGUUGGUGCUUUCAUGAUUUGGUUAACGGUGGUGCAUGGCCGUUCUUAGUUCGUGGAUUGAUUUGUCUGCUUAAUUGCGAUAACGAACGAGACUCUGACAGUUAAAUGUAGGGGCGGUUUGACUUGUCAGGCGUUAAUGAACUUAGCUGGAUUGAUUAUGUUUAAUGAUAUGAAAGUGAGCAAUAACAGGUCUGUUAUGCCCUGAGAUGGUCGGGGCCGCACGCGUGCUGCAAUGUUAGUCGCAAUGAGAUUGUCCUUCUCCGUUAGGAGUUGGCAAACCGUGUAGAUGUUAUUAUGGUCGGAAUCGAGGAUUGUAAUUUUUCUCGUGAACAAGGAAUUCCUUGUAAUUGAUUGUCACUACCAAUCAAUGAAUAUGUCCCUGCCCUCUGUACACACCGCCCGUCGCUGCCCGAGACUGAGUUAUUUCGAGAAGACUAUGGACGAUGAAGCUUUUUCGCCUUCGGGUGUUGGGUUUCGUUGAAAGUGGUUUAAUCGCGAUGGCUUGAAUCGGGCAAAAGUCGUAACAAGGUAGC